This 353-nucleotide ribosomal RNA is filed under the name Grammicolepis brachiusculus. Its description in RNAcentral is "partial 12S ribosomal RNA". It matches the Rfam family "Bacterial small subunit ribosomal RNA", at positions 801 to 1360 of the family's 1533-position model. Lineage: Eukaryota; Metazoa; Chordata; Actinopteri; Zeiformes; Grammicolepididae. The record is from RNAcentral.
AAACCUUGAUGGUCCCCAAUACUCCCCCAUCCGCCUGGGAACUACGAGCACAAGCUUAAAACCCAAAGGACUUGGCGGUGCUUUAGACCCCCCUAGAGGAGCCUGUUCUAGAACUGAUAACCCCCGUUAAACCUCACCACCCCUUGUUAACACCGCCUAUAUACCGCCGUCGUCAGCUUACCCUGUGAAGGUGAAACAGUAAGCAAAAUUAGUAAAACUCAAAACGUCAGGUCGAGGUGUAGCGAAUGGAGUGGGAAGAAAUGGGCUACAUUCUCUCUCGAGAGUAUACGAAUGGUGAACUGAAAUACCCACCUAAAGGAGGAUUUAGCAGUAAGUGGUAAAUAGAGUGUCCC